UUUUUUUUUUUUUUUUUGGUAGCCAAACACUUAAGUUGCUGAUAGUUGCCUUUGAAGGCCUAAACCUCCUUAAAUUUACUAAAUCUGUGGCAGAACAAAAAUGCUUCACAUCACCAAACUCACAUUAUCUAACAUCUCUUAGAACUUACUAAUUGGGAGAGACUGAACGUCACUGCAGAUUAAUGCACCUCCUUUCAGUAUGAGCACCUGAGUUGAAUCUAAUCUGCACAAAAGUGACUAAAAAUCAAUCUAAUCUGACAGUGCUGAAAUUAUUAUGUAUAAUUAUAUGCAUUCUUAAAUCCUUAGCUGGAGAUGAAGCACUUCAAGAGAGGAAUUUAGAUAUUUUUAGGGUUUGUUUUUGUUCUUUUUUUUUUCUUUUUUAAUAAAAAAAUAUGCAGAUAACAUUUUCAAUCAUAAAAGAUGAAAGGUGAUCAAGACAAUAUCUUCUGUUCAUAUCAGCCCUCAGUAUUUGCUACAGGAAACAACACAUUCCCAUGCCAGAAGUGUGCUGGAGGAAGGAAGGAAUUGGGGGAAGGGAAAAACCUUGAAAAGCACUCAGAUGCAUCAUUCUUAAUUACCUGAAAAUAUGCAUUACAUUUUUAAUGAUGGGCUCUUUUCCAUUAAAGGGGCAGAGAUCUUAGCUUGCUCAUAUAAUGACACAAUCAGCAACAUUACUGGUUUGCAAAGGCCUGUAUAUAUCCACCUAAUACAGACAAGUAAACUCAGCCUUUUUACCAAAUCCAGAGCAAUGGACAUGACCAGUACAACCCUGAUUUGAAGCUUCUUUUCCUUUUUCCUCCCUCAGUUUGCUGAGUGAUAUUCAACUACAAAUUAGAAAAUAUAAAAGACAAUACAUCUAUUUUGUCAAUAAUGUCAGUAAUAACACAACACCAAACAAUACUGAGAAAAAAAAGUUUGUUUCAAUAGGCAUGAUUAGUGUUGAAAAGAUUUAAAUUGUUUUGCAAAAUUUUUAUUGUACAACAUGACAUAGUCAACAGCACUCAGUUAACAAUGAUUUUCAUCAAAAUAUUUCUUCAAAUAGUAAAAUCCAUCCAUUUAUAAUGCCAGUAUUAAAAAAAUCAAGACAGAAAUUUUUAAAUCAUUGCAUUCUGAGCAUUAAAAAGCACAGAAAGGCCAUGUGUCAGAACUUGGAACAAGACAGUGUGACUAAACCAACAAAUUUGCAUUUGGUGAGUAGAAUAGUUUCUCAUGUCUAAGAAAAUCAUAUUGUUUGCUAGUACUGUCUUAGUUUUAUUCCCAAAGGCACAUGGUCAGUGGAAAUCCAGAUGAUACAAUCUAUCAGGAUUUCCAGAAGGCUUAAGGAAGCUAAGGACCUCCAAAAAAUAAUGAAGGCUCUUGCACAGAUAAAGAAUUUUUCAAAAAUAGAAUAAAAUCACCUAAAGAGUUAGGGAAAUAAACUUUCCUCACAGAUAUGUAUCCUGGGACUUGGGCUGCUUGUUGUAUUUAUAAGAAAGCCAGAAAAGGAGCAGGAGAAUAAAGCUUUCCAAAUUUCAAAUAAAAAAUGAGCUGACCAGUAUUACUUAGGAAAAGGGACCUUGAGGUUAGGACAGCAGAUUAUGGAAACAUAAGCUUGGUGCUCAAUAAUAAUGUCAUGAAAAGAAAAAAAAUCUCUUAUUUGAAAAGGAAUUGAGACUAAAACAAAGAACAUUUCUUUACUACCUAUACAGUGACUGCAUCUUCUAUAUGACUUUUGUCCCAUCCAUCUGAAAGGAUGUAGAGCUCAACAUGUUCCAACGAGGGCAACAAGGAAAAUCCAAGCAUCAUCUACCAUAUAAUAAAUAGCUACAUAAGCUAGAACUUUUGAAUCAAGACACAAAAAUGCUCAAGAGUGAAUAAGGUAGAAAUUGAUAAAAUUCAAAACCAAAAGAAAGGUUUUCACACAGGCAAUGGAGCUGCAAGAGCUUCUGGUUGUGGAAUACCAUAAACACCAAAAGCUCAGACUUGUUCAAGGGGCACCAGAUAAAUUCAAGGAACUGGAAUCUAACAAAAGCUACUAAAUACACAGAAACCAUCUACAGAAAAAGUAUUACCCAGUGUAGUUGCCCUGUUUGUACAGUAUUCCCUGCACAUCUGCUUUCAGCUCCCACUGGGAUGGUGCACUGGGUUAAACAGUCUGACCCCAUCCAGCCAGCCUCACAUUCUCACUGCUCUGUGUGAAAGCACAUGCCUUUAACGAAUAACCAUGGAACUGACAGAGUCACAGAAAACAGAACUGCAAAAAUUCUUGAGAGGUCAUCUAAUCUACUCUCCUGUCUCUGGGUAGAAUCAGUUGUGCAUGAUCUUUUGUGGCAGAUGUCUAACCUGUUUUUCAAAACCUUCAAAAGCAAGCUAUUCUAGUGUGAAGCAGGCCUUCUCUGAAAAAAAAGCUCUUUAUAAUACAACCUGAAUCUUCCUUGCUGCAAAGUUAAUCCCUUUAUUUCUUCAUUGUUACAGACACAGAGAGAGAUGGUCCCUCCCUCCCCUUUUGAAAUGGCCUUUCAUAUCCUUGGACUUCUCUAUCAAAACCUAGAAAGAAAACCCAAGCCCUCUCAAAUUGUUGUCACCUUACCAUUGAAAAAAAAAAAACCAAAAACAACAACAAAAAAAAACCCAGUCAUCGUUCCUUGCAAACUUUACAUAUUCCAGCUUGAGUGCAUCACAGAAAGUAACAAAACAGAUUCUUCUAGUAGGGACAUUAUUAUUAAAAAAACAAAACAAGACAAACCCAAAUAAAACACAAACCCAAAAAUGUGUGAAGUCUGUUUAGUAUAUAAAGAAUGGCCCAUAGCACAUAAUAAAUUGAGUUGAUUUACAAUAGGAACAGAGAACUGCUCUUCCUGCAGGAACCUCCUCCAGUCCCGUUCUCCUCCUUAUCCUUAUGUUACAUAGAUAACGCACAUUCUCAACCACUCUUCAUAGACCACACUCCCUAGACCUCAGAGGAUCCUCUUCUUUUCUUAAGACAGGAAGGAUUUGGUGAGAGCCCAGAGGUGCAAUACCCAAAAUUAGACAUAGCAUUCAAAUUGAGCCUAAGCAAAGCUUUGACAAGUGAAAGGAGCACCGUGUGUGCCUUGCAGACUUCCUGCUUGUGUGACGCGUGUGUUUCAGGGCACUGCAAUCCUGCUGAUUCAUAGCCAGCUCUUAAAUCACCCAGGCUCUGCAAUGCCUUCUACUGCAAUUGUUAUCCACUCGUUUUUACCCCAAUCCGUGAUUUAUGGAGUUUCAAUCAUUUUCAUUUUUUUUCCCUUCACAUAGAACAGUUUCUACUAAAGAAGAGACAACCUUUUUAGAAAUUUUAGCUUUGCACUGAUGCUAAGCACUAUCAAUUUACUUCUUCUGGUCACUUCACAUGAACUGCAAGGAUUUCCCAGGAUCAACAGGUGAGACUUUUAAAAUCACCGGCUGUAGAAAUUUAACUGACAAUUUGUGCUUGUUGGUGCUGAUUUAUUUACAGAUAUAUUAAAAAAAAAAAAAAAAAAAAAAAAAAAAAAAAAGAGAAGCUCAGAAAUACUUUAAGUUGUAAUCUUAUGCUCCAACUGGACUCUUCUUGAGUAUCUGCACAUUUAAUUAGGGUUUUUUUGUCCAUCCAAUAAUCUAUUUUCCACAGUAGAAACUCAGAGCAGACAUUGGGUGUAGUCUGACUAGUUCUGCACACACCAGAGUAGUUCAUCUAGCACUUGAAGUCCUUGCUAGCAUUUAGGAAAAAAACAAGUGAGACUGGUAAACAACCACCAAAGUCAAGUUGUCAUCAAGCAGAUGUCAGACCUUGGGUGAAUCCUGCACCUUCACCUUCUGAGUUUUUUUCCUGUGUUGAGAAUUAAUAGUGAGAAAAGUAACACCCACAGAUUGCCCACUAACAGUUAGAGACAUUGUUGGCAUUACCAACUUACUCAAAUUUGUAUCCUAAUUGCAAUAAAAAUACUGCAGGCUUAAUGUACAGACAAAUGCAAAGUUACUAUAGAAUUAAGAGUGCUAUAGCACCAGAAGACUUGCUGUAACAAGCAGAGAUGCAUGAGCUAAUCCCUCUGAACAAUUUAUUCAGUGACUUCAACCCCUGUUCUGGUAAUGAAUUCAAUGGGACAGUUUUAUUUCUGUGAAUUUAUUGCUUAGAAUUAUUAAUAAAUUAAUUAUAUAACCAUGCUCAGUCUCCAGAUUCCUUGCAAACUAAUAGCCAUCCCACCAAGAUUUUAUGUUCAUAAAUCAGAUUACUUAUUCAGCUAAUCCACAUAUUUUUCAGUCUACAAACCCAGAGCAUUUUCAAGGUGGUUACUACAUUAAAGAUUAUCGAAAUGAGUGUCAUGACAUUUUUAUCUUUCUCAGCUGAGCCUUUUGGAAAUCAAGAACUUGUUCACAUGAAUAGCUGUAGAAAAGAUUCAUCAAACUCUGAAUGCAAAUUAAAUAAGGAAAUUCUUAACCCAUUUUAACUUUUAAAAAUAAAAGAUUAAAUUUAAUAUGAUAAACUAAUUUAAUAAAUCUUUGGAGACAGUACCUAAAUAUACAAAAUAUUGCUUAAUAACUAAUUAUUUGGGAUAUACAGAAUACAGGAUUCCAUUAACUUGCACAAUGGCCAGUUUCUUCCUUUCAUAAUGUAUGCAAACAGAAUCAUGUUUAAAAUCAAAGUCAAAUACUACAUAUAAUUUUUUUUCCCCAGCAUAAAACUCUAUUUUACCAUAGUGAAAUCUGUGUUUAACAAAACCUUUUGGGUUGGAUUUCCUUGCUUCACAGUAUUUUGGUAAAACCUGCCAGGCAUACAAUUUUUGGUCAGUAGUCCACACGUCAAGUAAGACUGAUAAGCAGCUGGUGUGCUAUCAACAUAACUUUACUUAAGUUAGUAGCAAAACUUCAAGUACAACUAACCUGCUAACAGAACAGCACUUUGACUCUUAUUGCUCAUUUCUGAUGUGUCAAGUUUGUCAUAUUUUAAAAUAAAUUUUGAGAAGGAGAGACUACUAGGAAAAUGACAAAAGGCAUUUCUAAAGACCCCGCUUCUCUUUUUGUGUUACUAACAAUACAGAAAUGGCUUCAGAAAGAUUGCAUUGUAUUUUAGAUAUUUGAUGUGUGCAGUAAAAAGGCCUUUAAUAUUACCAAAGUAGUCUCCUUAACCCACAGUUCAAAUACCUAUUUUAAAGGCAUUUGGCAUUAUAUUUAAACAAAGAUAGUGCAGUGCCUGCAGCUGCAAAUUGCAGGGAACAAAUGCAAAUCACAAGAGUUCACACUGCAGUCUCUGAAAAGUCAUGAAAGCCUCCAAGUACUUUUAAAGAAUAAGGUACAAAACACCACCAAGACCCUACAAGCUACCCUGCAGGAAUCCAUUGCUUUUUACCUGACAGAGCAGUGAACAUAAGAACUUCAAUCCUUCCCUUUUCCAGAGACUCUAUGAAAAUUUAAAUGACACCCAGUAGACACAUACAGAACAAAAAUAGGAAAAAACAGUUGUUUUUGUUUUUAAUACAAGUUGAGUCUUUUUGAAGAGUAAAACCUUACAAAUUAUAGCACAAAUUGCACCUGUGCAAUGCUGCUAAAAAUGGCUGAAUUAACAAAAAACUUGUCUGAACGUGUUGGAUACUGUUGCCAGGAAAUUGUAAUAGUACAAAUCACUAUGUAACUAUCCCUAGGAGCUAUUUCUUAACUACCACAGCUUCCUAGCUUCAUUUCAACCUACUGUCCAAUGAAAGGUUAUUCCCACUUUGUAGGUACAAAAAACACCACCUAAAAAAACAGGAAGAGGUUAUUUAAUAAUUUUAAACUCUUCAUUCUAAUUCAGUGAUACACAGAGGAGUUAUCUUUAUUCUCUUGCAUCAUUUUAGGUACCUGAUAAACUUACAACCUGCAAUAUACCCAAUGAGUAAAGCCACUAUGUCAUAUUUAAUCCAGACAUUUUUCUAUAGUACAGAAGUAAGAAUAAUAGGAAUAUUGACAGCUAAAUAGCCAGGAAGGAUGUAAGCUGGGUACUGAGAGAGAUUUAAGUUCAAAGCUUGAAAUAAAAUAAAUACACAGUUAUACAUACUAGCCUUCUCCUUUUGAUGGAGCAGAAGAUUUGCCACGCACUUGGACUGAAAGCAUCCAGCACAUUUCCUCCCAGGCAGCCUGAAUGUGUCAAUCAGAAGGCCUCCCACCACAAGCAGCCACUCCACUGGGCCAGCUCACCGGUAGGAAGAGAGCUGGCACAGCUCUCCACUGGCUGGGAAGCUGCACUUGGGGCUGGGGCAGGGAGCACCUCUGACUCACAUGGCUCCUGGCAACCAAAAAAAAAAAAAAAA
RNAcentral lists this long non-coding RNA (6260 nucleotides) under Taeniopygia guttata (zebra finch). RNAcentral's name for it is "lncRNA (ENSTGUG00000026188.1)". The record is from RNAcentral. Lineage: Eukaryota; Metazoa; Chordata; Aves; Passeriformes; Estrildidae.